AACGCCAGGUUGAAGGUCUUUGUUAACAGGAGCUAGAGGAAGACAGAUGGCUGAGGUUGCUGUCCCUGUUGCACAAGGUGCGUUGUGCUGAAUCGCUUCAGGAAGGAAGAACCAGUGCUCCCGUGGGAGACCCGUUUGUUCGAGAUGGAUUUUGAGCCAAGGAUCUUUUGAAGACCCUGACCUGGAGUUACAUUCUGACCUCAUUUCUUUGUGGGAAUGGGACCUGCUCUCAGGGCGUCAUGAUUCGCCACUUCGUCCAAGGACAUGGCCAGGAAAACCUGCGGGUACCGGACUUUUGUGGCUCUGGAGUUAGGCUGAUUCUAGGCCGGUGCCCCUGACUGAGGUGUCACGGGAGAACAGGGAACAUCGGGAGCAGCUGGUUAGUUGCCGUGGGUUGUGUGUCCAGAGACCUGAGCCUUUCCAGGGCAGACUCUCCAGAUGAAGAGCUUGGAAAAAGCAGCACAACACACUUUCAACAUCAUAAAUCAGCAAGCUGUUUGUUAUGUCUCCCUUCCUGCUGUGAAAUGGGGACACCUCUUUUUCCUUUGCUAGGGAGAGAGAUCGUGUGGUAUGUCGAAUUACCGGGUGAACCAGUAAUGUUUGGGGUACUGCAAGUCUGUGUCUUUAUUGACACGUUGCUGCAUGCUUGAGUGCUCGGUAGAGGGUGCUGAUGCUUUUUUGCUGGUUGGAGGGAGGGGUUAGUUGCCUUGUUGCUGUUUGUGUGUGGGAGGGGGAGCUGGGGGGACUUUGGGGUUCUAACGUUUAACUGCCAUUCAUUCUUUGGGGCACUCUUCGUGUUUUUGUGGAUGUUUGCGAAGAAAAAGAAUUUCAGCAUGUACAUUUCUCUGAUAUUAAAUGUACCUAUUGAGGCAUAGGAGUAGAUUUAGGCCAUUUGGUCCAUCUAGUCUGUGCCACAUCCAAUCAGGCUGAUUUAUUGAAUAAUAUUUAUUACUAUAGGCACCUCAUAAAUAUUACUCGAUCAAUUUGUUGCUGUGGACCAUCUACAUGUUGUGCAUUCAGAGAUGCUCUUCUGCACAUUGUUGUUGUAAAAUGUGAUUAUUUGAGUUAAUGUUGACUUCCUGCUUGCUUGAGUCAGUCUGGGCAAUCCUCUCUGACCUCUGUCAUUAGCAAGAUGCAUUCACCCAUAGGACUGCUGCUCACUGGAUACUGGAUCUUAGGAAUGGUGACGGGGUCUGUGGGACAGGUGGCAGAGAAGGUGUGCCAGGGGCAGGGGGUGGUGUGGAUGCAGACACCGGGCAAGGUUCUUUGAUUCCAAACCAUCAGCUUAUUGAUCAUUACAGAAAGUAUCUCUGGUGCUUCUCAGUACCUCCUCUCUCCCUUGCCCUUUUCCCAGCCAUGAUUCCCCUCUCCCUAACCCCUAACCCACUCUCACUCUCAAUAGACUCAUACCAGAAUCAGAUUUAUCAUUGCUCAGGUAUCAUAAAACUUGAUUCUUUUUUUGUUUGGCAGCAAUGCAGUGCAAUAAGUAAUAUUACUACAGUACUAUGCAAAAGUCUUAGGCACCUUGGCUCUCUAUAUGUGCCUCAGAAUUCUGCGCAGUGCGUACUGCUGCCACAAAACCGAAAUUUCAAGCCUUUCAGUGACAGUAAAUCUGUUUCUGAUCAUCACCUGUCCCCAGUUUAUUUGGAGGAGGUGAAAGUUAUUCAAGCAAGAGGACAUGACAUGAGUUGAGAGUUAGGGGGCAAAAGUUUAAAGGUAAUAUGAGCGGAAAUUUCUUUACUCAGAGAGUGGUAGCUGUGUGGAAUGAGCUUCUAGUAGAAGUAGUAGAGGCAGGUUUGGUAUUGUCAUUUAAAGUAAAAUUGGAUAGGUAUAUGGACAGGAAAGGAAUGGAGGGUUAUGGGCUGAGUGCGGGCCAGAGGGACUAGGUGAGAGUAAGUGUCGGCACGAACUAGAAGGGCUGAGAUGGCCUGUUUCCGUGCUGUAAUUGUUAUACGGUUAUAUAUGGUUAUAUGGAAAUUAACAAACCCCCUUCUCAAAACUGCAGGAUUCCAUCUGGGGAUAUGACUCCCUACGCCUCUGUUUUGGGGGCUCCAGUGUUGAGACCCAAGAUCCAGUGUCCCCGUAGUGGGUCAAGUCACAGGUUAAAUGAGACUUGCCACUCAGCUGAUGGAGAGUCUCCUUCCACUGCACGUCUGCAGAGAUUGCUUAGCCAGCUAAGUGCUUCCAGUGGUUUUGCCUGUGUUCCAGAUUUCAGAAAUUAUUACAGGAGAGAUACGAGCACGAAAAGAAGAAGAGCUAAUUGCCAGAAGACAAAGAGUGGGAAUAAAGGGGGCCAUAAUGUUUAGCUGUGGGUGCCUCGUGCUGCUCGGCAGCGGUUGGGGCUGGGUCCACUACUUUACACAUUAUAUUUUAAUGAUCUGGGUGACAGAUUUUAGAUUUUGUAGCCAAAUUUGGGAUGAUACAAAGACAGGCGGGGGGUGGGGGGGUAUUGCUGAGGAAGCAGGCCGUCUGCAGAAGGACCGAGACAGAUUAGGAGAAUAGGCAAAGAAGGGCAGAUGGAAUACCACAGAGAGAUGCGCCUGAUUGCACACUUUGGUGGAAAGAAUAAAGGCAGAGACUAUAUGGGGAGCAAACUCGGGGUGAAAAGGAAUCUUUGCAGGGUUCUCUAAAGGUUAACCUGUUGGUUAGGUUUGUAGUAAGGAAGGCAAAUAUAAGGCUACAGUCAUAGAUUCAUACAACCCUACAGCAUACAAACAGGCCCUUCAACCCAUCUAGUCUGGUUCUAUUGACCUGUACACCCAGACCAUAGCCAGCUAUUCAUAUAUAUCUUAAAUGUUGAGAUCAAUGAACCCACAUCCAUCACUUCCGCUGGCAGCUCAUUCCACACUCUCACCACCCUCAGGUUGAAGAAGUUCCCCCUCAUGAUCUCCUUAAGUAUUUCACCAUUAACCCAUGAUCUCUAGUUCUAGUCUCACUCAGCCUCAGCGGAAAAGGCUUACUGGCAUUUAUACUAACCAUACCCAUUUUCUGACGUCCGGAGCAAGAAGAGAGCAGGGCCUGGAUGGAGAGGUUCUGGAUGUUGGAUGCAGCUUUCCUGUGACAAUGCUCUGUGUAGAUGUCCUCAAUGGAGGGACGGCUUUACCCUGUGAUGGACUAGGCUGCAUUUACUGCUUUUUGUAAGACUUUCCAUUUGGUGCUCCCAUACCAAGCCAUGUUGCAACCAGUCAAUAUACUCUCCACCAUACAUCGAUAGAAAUUGUCAGUUUUAGGUGACAUGUCGAUUCUCCACAAACUUCUAAAGUAGUAGAGACACUGCCAUGCUUUCUUUGUAAUUGCAAUUACCCACUGGACCUGGGACAGAUCCUCUGACAUGAUAACAUCAAGGAAUUUUAAAUCGCUGACCCUCUCCAAUUCUGAUCCUCUGAUGAGGACUGGCUCAUGGACCCCCGGUUUCCUCUUCCUGAAGUCAAUGAUUAGCUCCUUGGUCUUGCUGACACUGAGUGAGAGAUUGUUGUUGUGACACCACUAAGCCUGAUGAAUUUACCAUUUACCUCAGGACCCAUACCAACAAGUUCAGGAACAGUUAUUAACCCUCAACUUGAACCAGAGGGGAUAAUUUCAGUUGCCCCAUCUAUUAACUGUUUUCACAACCUAUGGACUCACUUUCAAGGACUCUUCAUCUCAAGUUUUUGAUAUAUAUAUAUAUAUAUAUCUUAUGUAUGUAUCAUUAAGAUUCUUUUUUUCUUUUGUAUUUGCAGUCUGUAGCAUGUUGCAAUUGGUUGACUGUCCAUCUUGCUGGGCGUGGUCUUUCAUUGAACCUAUUGUGCUUCUUGGAAUUACUGUGUAUGCCCACAAGAAAAUGAAUCUCAGAGUUGCAUAUGAUCACUUGUAUGUACUUCAAUAAUAAAAUUGCUUUGAACUUU
Molecule: long non-coding RNA, 3884 nt
Organism: Hypanus sabinus (Atlantic stingray)
Lineage: Eukaryota; Metazoa; Chordata; Chondrichthyes; Myliobatiformes; Dasyatidae
Exons: 2
Source: RefSeq, a predicted model, not a curated record